UAGGGAAUCUUCCGCAAUGGACGAAAGUCUGACGGAGCAACGCCGCGUGAGUGAAGAAGGAUUUCGGCUCGUAAAACUCUGUUGUUAGGGAAGAAAAAAUGUAUAGUAACUAUAUACAAAAGAGACGGUACCUAACCAGAAAGCCACGGCUAACUACGUGUCAGCAGCCGCGGUAAUACGUAGGUGGCAAGCGUUGUCCGGAAUUAUUGGGCGUAAAGCGCGCGCAGGUGGGUUAGAAAGUCUGAUGUGAAAGCCCACGGCUCAACCGUGGAGGGUCAUUGGAAACUGAUAAACUUGAGUGCAGGAGGGAAAAGUGGAAUUCCUAGUGUAGCGGUGAAAUGCGUAGAGAUUAGGAGGAACACCGGUGGCGAAAGCGGCUUUUUGGCCUGCAACUGACACUGAGGCGCGAAAGCGUGGGGAGCAAACAGG
This 429-nucleotide ribosomal RNA is filed under the name Verrucomicrobiota bacterium. RNAcentral's name for it is "Verrucomicrobia bacterium partial 16S ribosomal RNA". It matches the Rfam family "Bacterial small subunit ribosomal RNA", at positions 355 to 776 of the family's 1533-position model. The record is from RNAcentral. Lineage: Bacteria; Pseudomonadati; Verrucomicrobiota.